UCGAGGAUCUUCCCCAAUGGACGCAAGUCUGAGGGAGCGACGCCGCGUGCGGGAUGAAGGCCUUCGGGUUGUAAACCGCUUUAGGGGGGGAGGAAGCCGCAAGGUUGACCUAUCCCCAAAAUAAGCACGGGCUAAGUUCGUGCCAGCAGCCGCGGUAAGACGAACCGUGCGAACGUUGUUCGGAAUCACUGGGCUUAAAGGGCGCGUAGGCGGUCUGCCAAGUCGGUGGUGAAAUCUUUCGGCUCAACCGGAAACUGCCUUCGAUACUGGCAGGCUGGAGGGAGGUAGGGGUUGCGGGAACUACCAGUGGAGCGGUGAAAUGCGUUGAUAUUGGUAGGAACGCCGGUGGCGAAAGCGCGCAACUGGACCUCUUCUGACGCUGAGGCGCGAAAGCUAGGGGAGCAAACGGGAUUAGAUACCCCGGUAGUCCUAGCCUUAAACGAUGAGAACUAGGUUGUGGACUUGACAUGGGUUCACAGCCGAAGCAAAAGUGCUAAGUCUCCGCCUGGGGAGUAUGGUCGC
RNAcentral lists this ribosomal RNA (522 nucleotides) under uncultured Planctomycetota bacterium. RNAcentral describes it as "bacterial SSU rRNA". It matches the Rfam family "Bacterial small subunit ribosomal RNA", at positions 355 to 889 of the family's 1533-position model. Lineage: Bacteria; Pseudomonadati; Planctomycetota. The record is from RNAcentral.